RNAcentral lists this ribosomal RNA (720 nucleotides) under uncultured archaeon. RNAcentral describes it as "bacterial SSU rRNA". It matches the Rfam family "Archaeal small subunit ribosomal RNA", at positions 1 to 695 of the family's 1478-position model. The record is from RNAcentral.
UUCGCCCUUGGUUGAUCCCGCCGGACCCCACUGCUAUCGGGGUGGGACUUAGGCAUGUUAGUUUGUGUCUUCGAGCUAUGGUGAAGACACGGCGGACGGCUCAGUAACACGUAGCUAACCUGCCCUCGGGACGGAGAUAACCCCGGGAAACUGGGGCGAAUACUCGAUAGGUGAGAAGGCCUGGAAUGGUUUCCCGCCUAAAGGAUGUGGAACCAUGCUUCCAAUAUCGCCCGAGGAUGGGGCUGCGGCCGAUCAGGUAGUUGGUGAGGUAACGGCUCACCAAGCCUUUAACCGGUACGGGCCGUGAGAGCGGGAGCCCGGAGAUGGGCACUGAGACAAGGACCUAGGCCCUACGGGGCGCAGCAGUCGCGAAAACUCCGCAAUGCGCGCAAGCGCGACGGGGCUACCCCGAGUGCCGUCCGCUGAGGAUGGCUUUUCUCUGGUGUAAUGAGCCGGAGGAAUAAGGGGAGGGCAAGCCUGGUGUCAGCCGCCGCGGUAAUACCAGCUCCCCGAGUGGUGGGGAUGAUUAUUCGGCCUAAAGCGUCCGUAGCCUGCUCGGUAAGUCCUCCGUUAAAUCCGACGAUCCAAUCGUUGGGCUGCGGGGGAUACUGCAGGGCUAGGGGGCGGGAGAAGCUGACGGUACUCUCGGGGUAGGGGUGAAAUCCUAUAAUCCCAAGAGGACAACCAGUGGCGAAGGCGGUCAGCUAGAACGCGCCCGAC